RNAcentral lists this long non-coding RNA (1224 nucleotides) under Ursus thibetanus thibetanus. RNAcentral describes it as "lncRNA (ENSUTTG00000018717.1)". Lineage: Eukaryota; Metazoa; Chordata; Mammalia; Carnivora; Ursidae. The record is from RNAcentral.
UCAGACGUCCACUCUGUCCCCGUGUCUGCAGAGCCGUGAAACAGAGCUCCUCGCGGUGCUAGCAGUGGGCACUCGCCCGUAACCACAGAGCUGGGGCUGCGGCCUUUGGGCCACAGCGAGAAGAGGGAGGACACGGAGCCACAGGGUAAGCACAGGACAGGUCCCUGCCUGGCGGCUGCGCACCACAAGACACAGGGACGCCAACUGGACUCCGUUACUGCCGCCUCGACCAGGUACAAGGGGAGGCCGAUUUCCACGGCGCUUUGUUAAAGCGAACUCUGUAUAAACAGUUCUAUACAAAGAUGUAGCGUAUGACUGCCGGCCGCCCCCUUCAUGCUCAGCGGUCGGGGACCGUCACGGUCCUGGGGCACAGUCUGAUGCAGCCAUUAACAAUGAUGUUUAGGGGUGCCUAACAUCAGUCCCUGGAGCUCAGGCCCUCGAGCAUCUGGCUCUUGAUUUCGGCUCAGGUCAUGACCUCAGGGUCAUGGCAUCGAGCCCCGAGUCGGGCUCCACGCUCAGCAGGGAGUCUGCUUGAGGUUCUCUCUCCCUCUGCCCCUCCCCCAGCUCGCAGGCUCUCUAAAUAAAUAAAUAAAUAAAUAAAUAAAUAUUUUUUUAUAAUGAUGUUUAUGGAGAAUUUUAAUGACCUAAGAAGUGUUUUCGGUCUCAUCUGAAGUGAAAACCAAGAUGUGACACGCUACGGGCGUGUGUGUAAUUCAAUAAAAAGCAAAAAGAAAAAACUACAUGCUGUGAGCUCGACCUCAUUUAACGACUGCAGGCAAAAACCUGAAAGAAACUCAAAAGCGCGAACCUUGCUAUUUCUGGGGGGUGCAAUUGCGAGUGACUGACACGUUUUCAGGGCUUCGUCGUUACCGCAUUUCCAGAUUUCUACCAUAAACGCUUUGAGAUGUUCAGGUUAUUUGAAUAAAGGCGCGGCGCGUCUCCCGUCUUCAAGGAGCCCCCGUCUCUGGAAAAUCUUCUUUUAGGGCCUGGGAGUGUGUGUAUACAUUUUGCAGCUGGAGGCAGAGCUUGGGUCAGCUAGGGGGGUGUGUUGACGGCAAAUAAUGGAAACCCAGUAACAUUGAGGGGGUUGCCCCCCCCCCCCCCGCCAGGUCACAGGAAGUCCCCGUUAGGCCACCCAGGGCUGCUGCGGCUCCAUGAUGCUGUCGUGGACAAUGCUGCUAUCAAAGAGCAGGCCUGUUAUGCCCCCCAAACCCCUGCCUUUCC